Molecule: long non-coding RNA, 642 nt
Filed under: Anas platyrhynchos platyrhynchos (common mallard)
Lineage: Eukaryota; Metazoa; Chordata; Aves; Anseriformes; Anatidae
Description: lncRNA (ENSAPLG00000022701.1)
Source: RNAcentral
UGGUGGCAAAAAACUUGAGGUGUAUUAUUGUUUGAACUGGUUGAUCUUGGGGUAGAGCAGUUUUCCUUUACUUGCCUCUGGCUUGCAGAAUGCACUACAGGUUUGCAAUUAGCAUCUACAGGUAACACCUGUCCUGUGGGAAACAAACUUCCACUGCUGUGGGCCUCAGGCAGUGCAGCUAAAUGUAAGGCGACAAAAGCUUCACAGCAAGAAGUGUCAUCAGAUUGUGCUUCUGACCUGCUGUUCAGCUUCUGUUCUGCUUACAGUUACAUAUGGAGGGACUGCUGUUUUGCAGGACAGCUUGCAAGGGCAUUCCAGUUGAGCCAAAGCCAGUGUAGAGCCAAACCCAUUCUCCUAGUCAGCAUGAUCUCCUCAAUGUUGCCCCAUGCCAGGUGAUGUUUCCUGAUAAAUUCUAAGCAUAGCCAGAAAUAGAAAUCCCUGCAGCACAGAGAGGCAAGAGUUCACCUUUUCUCCCAGAGUGAUCAUACCACUGUGCCCUUGCCUUGCAUCAACAGAGAUGCAAGUAUCUUGUCUUUGUGAAGGAUGUGAGCACCAAAUCCCCAAUUUUUAGUAUACUUUUCCCCUCUUGAAUCAUUGAUGGUAGAUAAUAAAAAAAAAUGUCACAGAGCUGCUCUGAAAAUC